AGUGAACGCUGGCGGUAGGCCUAACACAUGCAAGUCGAACGGCAGCACAGUAAGAGCUUGCUCUUACGGGUGGCGAGUGGCGGACGGGUGAGGAAUACAUCGGAAUCUACUUUUUCGUGGGGGAUAACGUAGGGAGACUUACGCUAAUACCGCAUACGACCUACGGGUGAAAGCAGGGGAUCUUCGGACCUUUCGCGAUUGAAUGAGCCGAUGUCGGAUUAGCUAGUUGGCGGGGUAAAGGCCCACCAAGGCGACGAUCCGUAGCUGGUCUGAGAGGAUGAUCAGCCACACUGGAACUGAGACACGGUCCAGACUCCUACGGGAGGCAGCAGUGGGGAAUUUUGGACAAUGGGCGCAAGCCUGAUCCAGCCAUACCGCGUGGGUGAAGAAGGCCUUCGGGUUGUAAAGCCCUUUUGUUGGGAAAGAAAAGCAGCAGGUUAAUACCCCGCUGUUCUGACGGUACCCAAAGAAUAAGCACCGGCUAACUUCGUG
This 492-nucleotide ribosomal RNA is filed under the name uncultured bacterium. RNAcentral's name for it is "partial 16S ribosomal RNA". It matches the Rfam family "Bacterial small subunit ribosomal RNA", at positions 29 to 507 of the family's 1533-position model. The record is from RNAcentral.